AACUUUGCCCAGUGGUAAUAUCAUAACCAGUGAGAUUUAUACAAGUUGCGAUUAUUGCUAACUGAAAACUUCCUAAUAUCCGCCAUGAUGACUUGAAAUACAGUCAGCAUUGGCAAUUUUGGAUAGUCUCUAUGGAGA
RNAcentral lists this small nuclear RNA (138 nucleotides) under Cercocebus atys (sooty mangabey). RNAcentral describes it as "U4 spliceosomal RNA (ENSCATG00000004714.1)". It matches the Rfam family "U4 spliceosomal RNA". From Rfam's summary of the family: U4 small nuclear RNA (U4 snRNA) is a component of the major U2-dependent spliceosome. The structure of U4 snRNA from yeast and human has been reported. The record is from Rfam by way of RNAcentral. Lineage: Eukaryota; Metazoa; Chordata; Mammalia; Primates; Cercopithecidae.